AGAGUUUGAUCAUGGCUCAGAAUGAACGCUGCGGCGUGCUUAACACAUGCAAGUCGAACGAGAAAGGGAUUGCUUGCAAUCCUGAGUAGAGUGGCGCACGGGUGAGUAACACGUAGAUAAUCUACCUUUGAGCCCGGGAUAACUAAUCGAAAGGUUAGCUAAUACCGGAUGAAGUUAAUCGGCACAGGUUGAUUGAUGAAAGACUGCCUAUCCAUGGAAGCAGUUGUUUGGAGAUGAGUUUGCGGACCAUUAGCUUGUUGGUGGGGUAAAGGCCUACCAAGGCGAUGAUGGUUAGCUGGUCUGAGAGGAUGAUCAGCCACACUGGAACUGAAACACGGUCCAGACUCCUACGGGAGGCAGCAGUGAGGAAUUUUGCGCAAUGGGGGCNNCCCUGACGCAGCAACGCCGCGUGAGUGAAGAAGGCCUUUGGGUCGUAAAGCUCUGUCANCCGGGAAGAAGUUAUCGUUAUCUAAUAGGUGGCAGUAUUNCC
This 490-nucleotide ribosomal RNA is filed under the name bacterium ROME1177sh. Its description in RNAcentral is "bacterial SSU rRNA". It matches the Rfam family "Bacterial small subunit ribosomal RNA", at positions 8 to 479 of the family's 1533-position model. The record is from RNAcentral.